RNAcentral lists this long non-coding RNA (268 nucleotides) under Cicer arietinum (chickpea). Its description in RNAcentral is "long non-coding RNA (CARI_LNC001919)". Lineage: Eukaryota; Viridiplantae; Streptophyta; Magnoliopsida; Fabales; Fabaceae. The record is from RNAcentral.
UGAAUCCUCCUUGUUUAAUGUCAACAAGAUCAAUGAUUUUUCCAUUUACUACUGACUUGUUUUGCCAUUUUGAAGUGUAGACCGAUUCUACUUCGUCCGAGUCAAACAAUGAAGUGUUGGCAGAAAUUUUUGUGGAUGAUGAAGGGGGUCUUGAUGAAAGUAUUUUGGUCUUUUUGGGAGUUGGAGUUUUGGAAACUGAUUUUGCAGGAGGAGGUUGUGGUGUUGGUUCAACAGGAGGAGUGGUCUCUGAAUCAUCAGAGUUGAUGAC